RNAcentral lists this long non-coding RNA (611 nucleotides) under Capsicum annuum. RNAcentral describes it as "long non-coding RNA (CANN_LNC015077)". The record is from RNAcentral. Lineage: Eukaryota; Viridiplantae; Streptophyta; Magnoliopsida; Solanales; Solanaceae.
ACUCUGUGCCUUGCCGGUUGCUUUUCAACUACAAACACAGAUGAAUCAGUUGAUACUAAAGUUGUAACUCGUAAUCGUGUUUGUAAUCUUGGAUGUUCCAUCGGCCAUUGCUCCAAGUUUCUCGUUCAAUAUGGUAACUAACACUCCUUAUCUUGUCUCUUUACUUGUGUUCUUGUGAUAGUCAGAUUCAACUCAAUAAAAUUGGUGGUUUGAAGACAAACGUUAAUAUAAGACACCUUAAACAUGCAUAGGCAUAUUUCAUGAGUUGGUUUUCGUAACAAAGUUUGGUUUUUGACAUUAAGUAAAACAAUCCUGCUUCACAUGCACAUAUGCUUGAGGUGCAAUAUUGUAUUGCUAUAACGUGCAAUCUUUAAUUUUGCAGAUAAUGAGAAGUUUGGAAGUUGCAUGACAAACUGCAGUGAGAACUAUUGCAUUGGCAAUGCUCUAGAGAAAGUUGCAGCUUAAGAACAACUAAUAAUAUUAAAAAGUAGAAUUAUGGCCACUAAGUAUGUGUCUAUGACACUAUGUUAUGUACUAAAUUAAAGCUACUAAAUGCUUUUGUGGUUGUAAUUUUCUAUGUUGUGUGUAAUUGUGUUGUAUUAAAUAAAACU